UACGGGGGGGGCAAGCGUUGUUCGGAAUUACUGGGCGUAAAGGGCUCGUAGGCGGCCAACUAAGUCAGACGUGAAAUCCCUCGGUUUAACCGAGGAACUGCCCUCCAAACUGCUUCGCUUGAGACCGGGAGAGGUGAGUGGAAUUCCCAGUGUAGCGGUGAAAUGCGUAGAUAUUGGGAGGAACACCAGUGGCGAAGGCGGCUCACUGGACCGGUACUGACGCUGAUGCGCGAAAGCGUGGGGAGCAAACGGG
Molecule: ribosomal RNA, 253 nt
Filed under: uncultured bacterium
Lineage: Bacteria
Description: partial 16S ribosomal RNA
Rfam family: Bacterial small subunit ribosomal RNA
Source: RNAcentral